CCUACGGGUGGCAGCAGUGGGGAAUAUUGGACAAUGGGGGGAACCCUGAUCCAGCCAUGCCGCGUGUGUGAAGAAGGCCCUCGGGUUGUAAAGCACUUUCAGUGAGUAAGAACGCCUGGUGGUUAAUACCCAUCAGGAAAGACAUCACUCACAGAAGAAGCACCGGCUAACUCCGUGCCAGCAGCCGCGGUAAUACGGAGGGUGCGAGCGUUAAUCGGAAUUACUGGGCGUAAAGCGCGCGUAGGUGGCUUGAUAAGCCGGUUGUGAAAGCCCCGGGCUCAACCUGGGAACGGCAUCCGGAACUGUCAAGCUAGAGUGCAGGAGAGGAAGGUAGAAUUCCCGGUGUAGCGGUGAAAUGCGUAGAGAUCGGGAGGAAUACCAGUGGCGAAGGCGGCCUUCUGGACUGACACUGACACUGAGGUGCGAAAGCGUGGGUAGCAAACAGGAUUAGAUACCCUGGUAGUC
This 465-nucleotide ribosomal RNA is filed under the name Vreelandella stevensii. RNAcentral's name for it is "partial 16S ribosomal RNA". It matches the Rfam family "Bacterial small subunit ribosomal RNA", at positions 338 to 795 of the family's 1533-position model. The record is from RNAcentral. Lineage: Bacteria; Pseudomonadati; Pseudomonadota; Gammaproteobacteria; Oceanospirillales; Halomonadaceae.